GCUAGAGUCCGGUAGGGGAGCGUGGAAUUCCUGGUGUAGCGGUGAAAUGCGCAGAUAUCAUGAGGAACACCAGCGGCGAAGGCGGCGCUCUGGGCCGGAACUGACGCUGAGGAGCGAAAGCGUGGGUAUCAAACAGGAUUAGAUACCCUGGUAGUCCACGCCGUAAACGUUGGGCACUAGGUGUGGGGUCUUUUCAACGGAUUCCGUGCCGUCGCUAACGCAUUAAGUGCCCCGCCUGGGGAGUACGGCCGCAAGGCUAAAACUCAAAGGAAUUGACGGGGGCCCGCACAAGCAGCGGAGCAUGUUGCUUAAUUCGAGGCAACGCGAAGAACCUUACCUGGGUUUGACAUGUAGAGAAAAGCCACAGAGAUGUGGUGUCCUUCGGGGUUCUACACAGGUGGUGCAUGGUUGUCGUCAGCUCGUGUCGUGAGAUGUUGGGUUAAGUCCCGCAACGAGCGCAACCCUUGUCCUAUGUUGCCAGCGGAUAAUGCCGGGGACUCGUAGGAGACUGCCGGGGUCAACUCGGAGGAAGGUGGGGAUGACGUCAAAUCAUCAUGCCCCU
Molecule: ribosomal RNA, 562 nt
Filed under: uncultured Actinomycetes bacterium
Lineage: Bacteria; Bacillati; Actinomycetota; Actinomycetes
Description: bacterial SSU rRNA
Rfam family: Bacterial small subunit ribosomal RNA
Source: RNAcentral